ACUAUUACUCUGUAUCCUGACAAAGCUAAUAGCCGUAUCCUCCUACUUGGAGAUUUGAGAAGCAUGAGUGCUGGACGUGAUCCUCAAGAUCUACCAUGUACAGCUCCAAGAUCUAAGUGUUUUCUUGAAUGAGAACUCAGACUCUCACUUUUGGCAGACAUUACUUGGAGAUGAGAGAUUCUUGAAAUUGGGCUUUUGGUGUCUGUAAUUAUUACUGGAAAGGGAAGAAUAGGGAUAAUGAGAUAAAUGACGUGGAGAGAUUCUCUCCUUAGAUUGUUAAAGAGAACUUUCACUACAAUCUAUUUACCACUUCCUCACUUUUAUUUCAUUAUGUGCCAUGGUCUUUCAGUCAGAAGAAUUUCUAGUUAAUGGAAAGGGAACUGUGAACUUUGUUAAUAUUGUUCAGUUCCCUUUUAUAUAGCACUCCUUCUCUUUGUCAGGCCUGUCUUUUACUGUAGUUAUUUC
RNAcentral lists this long non-coding RNA (465 nucleotides) under Homo sapiens (human). Its description in RNAcentral is "non-protein coding lnc-TRIM49B-3:1". The record is from RNAcentral. Lineage: Eukaryota; Metazoa; Chordata; Mammalia; Primates; Hominidae.